CGUGUAGGCGGUCGGGCAAGUCGGGUGUGAAAGCCCAGGGCUCAACCCUGGAAGUGCAUUCGAUACUGCCUGGCUAGAGUCCCGGAGAGGAUGGUGGAACUCUCGGUGUAGAGGUGAAAUUCGUAGAUAUCGAGAAGAACACCGGUGGCGAAGGCGGCCAUCUGGACGGUGACUGACGCUGAGACGCGAAAGCGUGGGAGCAAACA
RNAcentral lists this ribosomal RNA (206 nucleotides) under uncultured bacterium. RNAcentral's name for it is "partial 16S ribosomal RNA". It matches the Rfam family "Bacterial small subunit ribosomal RNA", at positions 568 to 774 of the family's 1533-position model. The record is from RNAcentral.